UACAGGACUAGAAAAUAAAACAAAAAUAAUUGACUCAAAAACAUAAAAUGGCUCCUCGAGCAGCUCCUGAAUGCAGUGAUCCUGACUGAAUGGUCCCGAUGUGUAUGUCAUACUCAGACUCCAGUAAGUAGACCCACACCUGUAUGAGAAAACUUUAACCAACACUAUAUGAGAUAAUAACACUCCCUAUUAGACACAUGCAAGACAUAAUUGAGGCUAUUUUUGCAAAAUGACUUAUUUGGCCAAAAGGUGGUUAGAAGUGCAAAAUUUGGCUAAGACCCCGCAAAGCGAAGAACUUAAGAUUUACUAGGAAGACUGGACCCUAUGUGGGUUGCCUACGCAUCCCGCCCCGAGAGACGAGAAUUAGGUUUGCGUAGUUCGGACAGAUUGGAUACGAGCGAGAAUAAUAAAAAAAUCACUAAUUUAUAGAAAUCACAUUUUUUUGCUUUUUCUUGAAAAAUGACGAAACAUAAAUCUUUUUGGAUUUUCUUUUUGCUUUUUUUUUGAUUUUUUGAUUUUCGACACAAGAUGUAAAAAUGCAAAUUUUUUUUUGAAUUUUCAAGCUCGCUUUAUCUUCACACUUCAGCCUCUCUUUUUUCUUUUUUUUUUCUCUUUUUUUCAUUCGACCUCAAUUAUCAUUGGUCGCCAAAUGACCCUUUUACCCUUGAAGAAAUGCAACAUGUAGCACAUAGGAUGCAUCAAGAUGGUCUGUUAUUUUGGGUACACCUGCCCUAGACGGACCCAACCCCUGUGUUGAGUCCCCAAAGUCAAAUGCACAUGAUGCAAACAAACGUGCCUACUAGGGAUCCGACAUGAGACUGAGUUAUUCUAGGUUCAAAACCUGGGUUUAUUAUUCUAGACCUGGCUUACUCGAGCGGACAGCUCGAGCUGAGGGGGGGCAGCGUACCGGGAAUACAGAAGCUUCACCGGCUUUGCAACUUGUCCGAACCUCGUUCUAAAUUUGGAAUAUGGCACUAACAGAAAAGACGUCACACGAAGUGCACACUUCUUCAUGAUUUAGAAGACUCAGAGAGAAGAGGGAUUUCGCAAUAAUUUAUAUACAGUUCACGGAAUAUCGAAGCGGUAAAAGCAAUCAAUUAGCACAUUAGGCCCAGAUCAUGUAACAAAAUCAAAUAAUGGAUAAAGCCAACUAUAAUAAUUAUUCUAAGCUCGAAUUCUUGAACCCUGAACCAGAGAUUCUGAGUUCGGUCCCCAACAGAGUCGCUAGAGCUGUCACACCUCCUUUUUACCUACACCCCCGGGAAGGGUAUAUAAUGGAGUUUUUUCACUUUAAAGUGACUAUCGAAACGGGAUCAUUUUAUUAAAAAUUCAGAGUCGCCACUUGGGAUAAUUUAGGGUGUCCCAAGUCACCGGUUCAAAUCCCGAAUCAAGGAAAGAUUUGACUCUAUUUUAUAGUCCGCGAACACAAAAAUUCGGGUAAGAAAUUCCGUUAACCCGGGAGAAGGUGUUAGGCAUUCUCGAGUUCCGUAGUUCUAGCACAGUCGCUCAACUGUUAUAAUUGGCCUAUUAUCAGAUUUUUAAUACAUGUUCAAACCUAUGUGAAUUUUUGACUUUAAACCGCUUUUAAUUAUUUAAAGAAUUAAUUCAAGAUUAUUUAAAACAUAUCACAAGCCACGCUACAUGAAAUGCGCCCGUGGUUCACGACACAUUCUAUUUUACCUUGUUGGAAAUUCGAACCGGGUCACAUAAAAUGCACACCCAAAAUUAGUAAUUAAAGAAAAUCAAUUUAAAGAACGCGCCUAAAGCAACUACGAAGGUCAAAAUUAAUGAAUAAACGUCGAAAUUCACGCGAAAAAUUACAUAUAUUUACCAAGGUGUUUUGAGCUUGAAGAAGAAUGGGAACAUGGAAAGGGACUAAUUAGUCUGGUCAACUUUUCUUCUUGAUAGACUUAUUCCCACCAAUAAGAUUUGAUUAACUAUAUAUACUAAGCUUCAUCUGUUCUAAAUCAAAUUAUAUUUCAAUAGAGCAAAACUUGACCAAAAUCUUAGAGGGGCUCAAGCAGAUAGCAUGAAGGUUGAAGCAAAAUACUACAAUAAUGCAUUUCAUUUCUCAGCCAAAUGUCAACGGCUUAAUUAGAUAACAAAGGAAAGGAGUGGCCUAAAGCCCAAAAUUGUACCAAUUUCUAUAAAAUAGUUCACCUACAAAAGCCCGUAACAUCAUUAUCAUCCCAAAUUAUCAAAACUCAAAUACCAUGGCACCCAGGCUAAAACUAUCUUAAACAUGACACAAAUACUUGACUAGUCUAAGGAAAUUAUCUUUAAGCUCCAACGGAUUCAUCCCAAGUCGAUUAAGCGUUCGAAUGACCGAUUAAAUUAACAUGCUAAAUCCAGUAGGCCAACACAUUAAACUAAAGAAAAUUGCAUUCCAUCAUAAAAUAAGCAUAAACUUGAUUUAACAUUUAUUAAAGUUAACAAUAAGGUAUGAACUUAAGAACAAGUUUGAGAGGUGGACCUUUACAUGAUCAUCCUGAAGCUCGAAUAACUCACAAGGACGCAAACAGAGCCUCGACCCAGAAACACAGAGCAAGACCCGACCAUCUCAGAACUCGACUAGAAACCAACAACCAAACGAAUCAAACACGAAAACCCGAACAAGACCGACGCGAACCGAGAUGUUUUGGGUGGUAGUUCCUACUCUUUCAUGGCUGUUUGGAUCAUUUUAAUGGAGGUUUCUCACUGGCUUUCAUGAUGUUGAAGCUGGGUUUUAUGGUGGUUGUUUGGAGUUAGUUUGAUGGGUGUUUUGGAGGUGAGAGGAGUAGAUUUUAGGGGCUGGUUGCAGCAGCUCGUUGCUGCAUGUUUUGGAGGUUUAUUAGGUUGGCUUUGAUGGAGUUUCAAGAGAUACUUUUGGAGGAAACAAUGAGAUGGUAACGGGGGAGAUUUUCUACUCUUUCAUGGCUGCAUAUUUGGGUGUAUUUUUGUGUUCAAGAACAAAGAAGAGGCUGCUCUUGCUUUCAGAAGGAGCUGCGCCACCUUUUUUUUUCUCUUUUUCCUCCCCUUUUUGUGUAUUCACGACUGCUAGUGUUAAG
RNAcentral lists this long non-coding RNA (3047 nucleotides) under Nicotiana tabacum (common tobacco). RNAcentral describes it as "long non-coding RNA (NTAB_LNC009285)". The record is from RNAcentral. Lineage: Eukaryota; Viridiplantae; Streptophyta; Magnoliopsida; Solanales; Solanaceae.